GCUUCUUCUACUCUAUUUCCUGCCGUCAUGCAGCCAUGCGGAGCCUUUAGCGCCGACCACGUACAGCCCGGCUCCUUCUCUGCACGCGCAGUUGAAGGAAAUUUGCCAAAAUCGGUUUUGUUUUGUUUUCAAAAUUUCACUCCAAAUGUACUUGACAUGGAUUGGAAACACUGGCUGGUGUGCUCUAGUUUUUGGAUGACUGGUUCCACGUCGUUCAUCUCUACCGUUGCUCCUGCCCUCUGACCCCACGCCGUCUCCAUCCAUGGAUAAAGGAAAGGACUCACUGUAGUGACUGGAUGUCAUUAAAGCGCCUGAUCCCACUUGACCUCUUGAUCCAACAGCUGGAGCCCGGAGCCACGAGACUGUCCCUGCAGUCUGGGUCCGGCUCACAGAUCCGGGGCUCAGUCUGGACGGGAGCGAUGCUGAAUGGCGGACUAGUCGCGUGCCUUUGCCCUACUUCUUUGCCUCCAUCCUCGCUCCCUGAGGGAUGUGCUCAGGCUUUCAUUUUCCCAUUUUCAGCUGGCGGAUGUCACAAUCUGGCUGCUCUUUACCUCUGGAGGAGUCUGGAGAGUUACCGUUCCAAGACACCACCUGUCAUGCUCUGACUAUGUUCCUUUCCAUGAGGAGAGACUUUUACUGGAGCAAAACAAUCAUCUUCAAUCAACUUCAUGCCCACGAUCGGACGAAGGGGGCCGAGCGACAACUUGACAGGAACCCAUCACUGGUGAUGAAGCC
This is a long non-coding RNA of Gasterosteus aculeatus aculeatus (three-spined stickleback), 735 nucleotides long. NCBI's taxonomy places the organism in Eukaryota, Metazoa, Chordata, Actinopteri, Perciformes, Gasterosteidae. The record is from Ensembl.